GGGGAUGUGGCGAAACUGGCAGACGCGCUAGAUUUAGGAUCUAGUUCCGCAAGGAGUGCAGGUUCAAUUCCUGUCAUCCCCAC
Molecule: transfer RNA, 83 nt
Rfam family: tRNA
About the family: Transfer RNA (tRNA) molecules are approximately 80 nucleotides in length. Their secondary structure includes four short double-helical elements and three loops (D, anti-codon, and T loops).